UACGUAGGGUGCGAGCGUUGCCCGGAUUUAUUGGGCGUAAAGGGCGCGCAGGCGGCUACGCACGUCCGUUGUGAAAUCGCUCGGCUCAACUGGGCGAGGUCAGCGGAUACGGCGUGGCUGGAGCAAGCUAGGGGGCAAUGGAAUUCCCGGUGUAGUGGUGGAAUGCGUAGAUAUCGGGAGGAACACCAGUGGCGAAGGCGGUUGCCUGGAGCUUUGCUGACGCUGAGGCGCGAAAGCGUGGGGAGCGAUCCGG
RNAcentral lists this ribosomal RNA (253 nucleotides) under uncultured bacterium. RNAcentral describes it as "partial 16S ribosomal RNA". It matches the Rfam family "Bacterial small subunit ribosomal RNA", at positions 524 to 776 of the family's 1533-position model. The record is from RNAcentral.